GACACGGUCCAGACUCCUACGGGAGGCAGCAGUGGGGAAUUUUGGACAAUGGGGGCAACCCUGAUCCAGCCAUGCCGCGUGAGUGAGGAAGGCCUUCGGGUUGUAAAGCUCUUUCGGCCGGGAAGAAAUCGCAUAGGCCAAUACCCUGUGUGGAUGACGGUACCGGAAUAAGAAGCACCGGCUAACUACGUGCCAGCAGCCGCGGUAAUACGUAGGGUGCGAGCGUUAAUCGGAAUUACUGGGCGUAAAGCGUGCGCAGGCGGUUUUGUAAGACAGGCGUGAAAUCCCCGGGCUUAACCUGGGAACUGCGUUUGUGACUGCAAGGCUAGAGUACGGCAGAGGGGGGUGGAAUUCCACGUGUAGCAGUGAAAUGCGUAGAGACGUGGAGGAACACCAAUGGCGAAGGCAGCCCCCUGGGUCGAUACUGACGCUCAUGCACGAAAGCGUGGGUAGCAAACAGGAUUAGAUACCCUGGUAGUCCACGCCCUAAACUAUGUCAACUAGGUGUUGGGUGGGUAAAACCAUUUAGUACCGUAGCUAACGCGUGAAGUUGACCGCCUGGGGAGUACGGCCGCAAGGUUAAAACUCAAAGGAAUUGACGGGGACCCGCACAAGCGGUGGAUGAUGUGGAUUAAUUCGAUGCAACGCGAAAAACCUUACCUACCCUUGACAUGCCAGGAACUUGCCAGAGAUGGCUUGGUGCCCGAAAGGGAGCCUGGACACAGGUGCUGCAUGGCUGUCGUCAGCUCGUGUCGUGAGAUGUUGGGUUAAGUCCCGCAACGAGCGCAACCCUUGUCGUUAAUUGCCAUCAUUUGGUUGGGCACUUUAACGAGACUGCCGGUGACAAACCGGAGGAAGGUGGGGAUGACGUCAAGUCCCCAUGGCCCUUAUGGGUAGGGCUUCACACGUCAUACAAUGGGCGGUACAAAGGGUUGCCAAGCCGCGAGGCGGAGCCAAUCCCAGAAAGCCGAUCGUAGUCCGGAUUGCAGGCUGCAACUCGCCUGCAUGAAGUCGGAAUCGCUAGUAAUCGUGGAUCAGCAUGUCACGGUGAAUACGUUCCCGGGUCUUGUACACACCGCCCGUCACACCAUGGGAGCGGGUUCCGCCAGAAGUAGGUAGCCUAACCGCAAGGGGGGCGCUUACCACGGCGGGGUUCGUGACUGGGGUGAAGUCGGAACAAGGUAGCCGUAGGGAACCUGCGGCUG
RNAcentral lists this ribosomal RNA (1205 nucleotides) under metagenome. Its description in RNAcentral is "bacterial SSU rRNA". It matches the Rfam family "Bacterial small subunit ribosomal RNA", at positions 323 to 1520 of the family's 1533-position model. The record is from RNAcentral.